ACCUAAAUGGCUCAAUUGGUAGAACAUAUGACUUUUGAUCUUGGGGUCAUGAGUUCAAGUCCCAUGUUGGAUG
RNAcentral lists this transfer RNA (73 nucleotides) under Canis lupus familiaris (dog). It matches the Rfam family "tRNA". Rfam says of the family: Transfer RNA (tRNA) molecules are approximately 80 nucleotides in length. Their secondary structure includes four short double-helical elements and three loops (D, anti-codon, and T loops). Further hydrogen bonds mediate the characteristic L-shaped molecular structure. tRNAs have two regions of fundamental functional importance: the anti-codon, which is responsible for specific mRNA codon recognition, and the 3' end, to which the tRNAs corresponding amino acid is attached (by aminoacyl-tRNA synthetases). tRNAs cope with the degeneracy of the genetic code in two manners: having more than one tRNA (with a specific anti-codon) for a particular amino acid; and 'wobble' base-pairing, i.e. permitting non-standard base-pairing at the 3rd anti-codon position. The record is from Rfam by way of RNAcentral. Lineage: Eukaryota; Metazoa; Chordata; Mammalia; Carnivora; Canidae. RNAcentral also lists the same sequence under 1 other name.